This is a long non-coding RNA of Oreochromis aureus, 3908 nucleotides long. Lineage: Eukaryota; Metazoa; Chordata; Actinopteri; Cichliformes; Cichlidae. The record is from Ensembl.
CUGCCCAUCUCUGGAAGUAAGCAACAAAAAAUCAAUGUUAUGGAGGAAGAAAGAAGAGGAGAACCAAAUCUCUCUAAAGAUGCCCCUAAUCAUGAAGAGCAUGUGGGGUAAGGAGGUCAUCAAGGGAGAGGACAGCUCCAAAGAAGCUAACUUAUCCAAUGUUAGGAAAUCCUUUAGUGAGAGUCAAGCACUCCAUUGUAUCUGGGUUAGACCAAGCUUUCACCCAAGCCUUCACCCUUGACAGUGUACCUAGCGCAGAUCAACUUAUGCCCAGGACACUGAAACAGUGUAAAGUUCCACAUGCAUGCGGCUUAAGAGGAAGAGAAUGUAACCCUCUCAAAGUUAUCCACUGGUAUUCAAGCCAGUUUUAAUGUUUAAUAUAUGCAGUACCAAUGUUAUCCAGCAGAUGGCACUAUAGUUGUUCUGCAAAGCCUUAUGAGGCAAUAAGAAUAAUUGCAGUGCAAGCAGAUAGACAGCAAGCCAGGAAAAAAAGAACAGAGAGCAUGGAGUACUGGAGUGAAUAGGAACCUUAAAAUAAUAAGUGUUAAGGUUUUUACAGAUAAAGACUUAUGGCGAUUUGCUCACCAUACAUCCCAUUUUCCAGUUGUUUUUUUACUAUGUUGUGACAUAAUGCGAGAGACUGAAUGUGAAUCCACUGAAGUUCUUCUCCAGAGACAUAUCCCUCCACCCAGGAGGAUGGCGAACAAAGAUUCUACUAAACUUUACAGAUAAGCACUGGGCUUAUCCACACACAUACACACACUACCCGGAUAGAUUGACAACAGUUUUUUUCUCAGAGCUCUUAAUUUUUUUAUUUUUUUUUUCCCCUCUUUGCUGAUUUUUUUUCUUUCCUCACCAAACCAGAGUGGUUAGUGGAGGCUUUUAUUCAACAGUUAUUCAACAGUAAUGCACUAAUACAAAAAUUAUUAAGCAAUAAAUUUGUUCUUAUUCUGCUCACAACCCCAUAGGAGCCCCCAAAAGCUCAAAAAUAGUUUUAAUUUCACAGCUGAUCUUAGAGACUUGCUGGUGUCCAAGAGGAGGUCAGCUUCCCAGUCAAUCUCAGAAGCCUCCUGGCUCCCAAGCUGUUGAUAACUGGAUUCGUAGGAUGCAGAAGCCAUUUUAAAGCUAAGCUGCCCUUAUUGGCUGUUUUUCCUGGCCAGCAGACUUUGAGCACUCUACUGUAUAACCACACCAUCUUUUUACACUGAAACUGAUAUCCCUUGUCAGUAUAUAAGUACCUCUCAAAUAAUGGAAUUUGAAUGUAAAAUUAUGACACUCAGGAGCAAGUUGAGAAACUACUAAUUACUCUCAAACACAAUAAAAGUUGCCAUAAAGGCAGUAAAUUAAAAAACAGUUCAAGAACUUCAGUUGACUAAUAUGCAAGUGUUGCAUGUCUUUAAACUUUAAUAUGUUUUACUGAUUACUCUUGUAACCAAUGGAGUUUUCUGUUACUUCAGGUUACUACACUGUGGCAGACGUGUAGAUAAAAGCUGUAAUCUUAAUUCAUUAAGUCUAACACAAACCCAGUCAAAGAAACUAAGACAGUGAUAGGCUACCAAUUUAUGAUUAGAAGAUUUUCAAAACAUUUUGUCAUUAAAAACGCUUCCAAACAGAAAAAUUACCCAAAAACUAAGUAUUAACUUAAACCUGCCAAAAACCAAACCAUGUUGGUUGACUAUAAGUCAGAAUGAAACUUCAGAUGAUCCUGUUGUGUUGAGGUGUAUUUAAGGGUGAUGACUUCAUUUGCUGUUGGAAUGUAACAUCCCAUACCUGUUAAAAAAAAAAAAAGUUCAGAGAAUAUUAUAAUGGGACAAGCCGGACUGCGUGCAUCAAAUGUCUGACCUCAGCUUAUCUAACACAUCGCGAGUUUGGUUCACUCACCAACAUCAAGUGGGGUUGUACCACUCAGCAGUUGCCAGUAGUGUGAUGAAUUUCCUGCCAAGCCAUUCACACUGAUGAGGAAUGGUCCAUAGUCAUCAUUUACUUUGUAUUCAAAGCUGUAAACACAGGGUAUGACAUUUUCAUGGACAAAAUUAUGCACAGUUUUUGAAAUAACUGUGAAGCUCAAAAGAAGGUUAUUGUAAUUGCAAAAGUACAAGAGCACCGACACUCUUGAGAACUCAUAAGGACUUAUGAAACAUCAAUGAAAGGAAGGCAUUUUGUUGAAGCUAAAGAUGUGAUGUGGUUUUUGACUGUCCUCUAAAUACAUGCAGGUUUCUGUAGUUUAUGAUGAUCAGAUGAAAGUGUGAAGAAUUGUUUGUAAAGGUCAGCAAAGCUGUUUCAUCUUGACUAAAUGUCAACAAAUAGGAGAAAACAAUUGGUCAUCUGACAAUCGAAAAUUCACACCCAGAAACACAGGGUCUCAAUUAGAGUUACACAUUUAGGGAACAAGAGAGACUGUAUAGCUUCCUCUAGAAAAGAAAUAGCUGAUUUGAUGGUCUUACUCAAAGCCUUGGUCUGACAUUUUCAGUCUUAUCAGUCCACCGAAGAGGCUUCCAUUAGGAGCGGUAAAAGUGUUGUAGUUCUUAAUGCUAUAGGGUGGCGUAUUAACCACCACUUUGAAGUAAGUGUUAUCGUUACCUGUAUGCAAAGAUGAAGAGCAGAAAAACAAUAAAGGCAACCGGUCAGGCCUACGUGACUAUUUAAGGACAUUUUUACAUUUCUUUUUUUCAUUUAGCUACACUGAAGCUUACUUUGAGCUGACUGCCAAACAAAAACCAGCAGCAGCACGGCUGCAGAGAGGAGAACAGGCUUCUUCAUUCUGACUGAGCUGGCAAAAGCUGACGACUGUCCUUAAGCCAUUCAGGUUUGUGACUGAGCUUUUUGGAGGUGAGACAUGUGUCUCAUGUUCAGUGGUUUUACCUGCUUACUGCCACCUGCAUCACACCAUGGAGGUCUCCAAUGAUGACUCAGACUACAUGGUGAAAUUUAAGACUGCCUUUACAAAGAACCUAUCCCAACAUGUAGCUACACUCAACCAUCAGUGGCUCAAGAUAGCUACUGUGCUUGACCCACACUUUAAGAAUUUAAAGUGUCUUGCAAGGGGAGAGUGAGAAGAGGUUUGGACCAGCCUUGAGGUUGCUGCAGGAACAGUGUAAAGAUGCCACCACAAAGGAGCCAGCAAAGACAAAGAGCCUCCUCCUCUCUUCAUUGUCUUCAGACUCUGAUUCAGAUGAGGAAGCCCUGUGUAACAGGGCCCUGAGCAGAAUCCACCAUCAGCGAUAAAGACUGCCCACUGCAGUCUAAUACAAUUAUCAUUGUUGUUUGUCGAAUCCUAAUGGCAACUGUAGUGUGUAAUCAGGUAUAAACACUUUAUUUACAAGACAAAACAUCUGUUACAGGUCAUAACAGAGUUUAAAUGUGAAGCUGGUCAAAUAAGCUGGUCAAAUAACCUUUUAUGUUUCUGCCUUAGUUUUUUAAGAAGAAAACCUGCAAUUUAUGUUGAAAAUGUUAUUAUUAUUAUUAUUAUUAUUAUUAGAGACACUAACAUUUUGAAAAUGUACUUAAAGUGCUUAAAAUAGCAUUUUAUUUUUAAGUCUGCACAACUUAUUUUUUUGAAGUCCCACCUCUACUAAUUAAUUAAUGAAAAGUGUUAUUAAUUAAAUAAAAAUUUAAAAUAAACACAUUAUUAAAUGAUUUAAAUGAAACAAAUGGGCAUCUAAUUAAUUAUUGAAAUAUUUAUUUAAUUAAUUAAUUAAUUUAAUGACAUAUAUAAUUAAUUAAUCUUCCAUAAAAGACAAGCCCCAGCUAGACUAAUUUAAAAUAACAAAGAACAAAAUGUUUCUCACCUCCUUCAGCUAUGGCUUCAAGUACAUUGUGUGAGGUUACUUGUUUUUCUAGUUUGGUCCUGAAGCUUCCUAGAAGAAUCUUUCUAAUGCAGUCCUCUGUCCUUUUUCUGCCCCAACCAG